GCCUGGCUGGCUCAGUCGGUAGAGCAUGCGACUCUUGAUCACAGGGUGUGAGUUCAAGCCCCACAUUGGGCA
This is a non-coding RNA of Suricata suricatta (meerkat), 72 nucleotides long. Lineage: Eukaryota; Metazoa; Chordata; Mammalia; Carnivora; Herpestidae. The record is from the annotation of a RefSeq genome assembly.